Molecule: long non-coding RNA, 166 nt
Organism: Topomyia yanbarensis
Lineage: Eukaryota; Metazoa; Arthropoda; Insecta; Diptera; Culicidae
Exons: 2
Source: RefSeq, a predicted model, not a curated record
UCGAACUGUAUACUAGCCUUUAGCGGUUACUUAAGGUCUGAACUGCAUAGGAUGCUUUUUAAGCGUUAUAUGAAAUUCUGAUAGCCUGGGUUCUACUAACCUACACCGAAAAUCUGUAAAAUCUGUAUUUUAGCGAAAAAUCUGUAAUCUGUAUAUACAGAAUCUU